CUCCUCCUCCUCCUCCUCCUCCUCCUCCUCCUCCUCCUCGGCUUGCCCUGGCCUUAGAGACUUCGUUUCAAACAGACAGACAGAAAGACUCACUUUUCAGUCAAGGAAGAAAUGAAAAUCCUUUCAUUCUUUUCUUGGGGUAGGAAACAGCUGAGGAACUAGAGAUGCCAGAUCUCAGGGCCUGGCCCCUCUUUGCUAAUCUCAGGGACAAGUGAUCUGCACUUGGAAGAGGAGAGGAAUGGGAGCCAACGUGGUGUACAACAGUGUUCUUCAACAGCAUACCUCCAAAUUGACCCGAAGCAGCUUUAUUUUGGCCUGUCUGUAUGGGGCCAAUGU
Molecule: long non-coding RNA, 336 nt
Organism: Sceloporus undulatus (fence lizard)
Lineage: Eukaryota; Metazoa; Chordata; Lepidosauria; Squamata; Phrynosomatidae
Exons: 3
Source: RefSeq, a predicted model, not a curated record